Molecule: non-coding RNA, 72 nt
Organism: Dovyalis caffra
Lineage: Eukaryota; Viridiplantae; Streptophyta; Magnoliopsida; Malpighiales; Salicaceae
Source: the annotation of a GenBank genome assembly
GUGGCUGUACUUUAAUGGUAAAUUCCAUGCAUUUGUUGCAUGGAGACCUGGGCUCGAAUCCCAGCAGUCACA